RNAcentral lists this ribosomal RNA (445 nucleotides) under uncultured bacterium. RNAcentral's name for it is "bacterial SSU rRNA". It matches the Rfam family "Bacterial small subunit ribosomal RNA", at positions 28 to 521 of the family's 1533-position model. The record is from RNAcentral.
AUUGAACGCUGGCGGCGUGGUUAAAGCAUGCAAGUCGAACGAACCCGCAAGGGUGAGUGGCGGAAGGGUCAGUAAUGCGAUCGAACGUGCCCCGAGGUGGGGGAUAGCGGUGGGAAACUGCCGGUAAUACCCCAUGAUCUCUCCGGAGCAAAGGUUUACCGCCUUGGGAUCGGCGAUCGUCCUAUCAGCUUGUUGGCGGGUAACGGCCCACCAAGGCUUUGACGGGUAGCAGGUGUGAGAGCACGACCUGCGACAUCGGGACUGAGACACUGCCCGGACUCCUACGGGAGGCUGCAGCGACGAAUCUUCCGCAAUGGGGGCAACCCGACGGAGCGACGCCGCGUGCGGGAUGAAGCGCCUUCGGCGUGUAAACCGCUGUCAGGGGACAGAACCAAUGAUCGUCCCCAAAGGAAGAGACGGCUAACCCUGUGCCAGCAGCCGCUGU